This 252-nucleotide ribosomal RNA is filed under the name uncultured bacterium. RNAcentral's name for it is "partial 16S ribosomal RNA". It matches the Rfam family "Bacterial small subunit ribosomal RNA", at positions 524 to 776 of the family's 1533-position model. The record is from RNAcentral.
UACGGAGGAUGCGAGCGUUAUCCGGAUUUAUUGGGUUUAAAGGGUGCGCAGGCGGCACGGCAAGCCGGCGGUCAAAUCGCGGGGCUCAACCCCGCCCAGCCGUCGGAACUGCCGGGCUAGAGUGGGCGAGAAGUAUGCGGAAUGCGUGGUGUAGCGGUGAAAUGCAUAGAUAUCACGCAGAACCCCGAUUGCGAAGGCAGCAUACCGGCGCCCUACUGACGCUGAGGCACGAAAGCGUGGGUAUCGAACAGG